Molecule: microRNA precursor, 124 nt
Filed under: Hordeum vulgare
Lineage: Eukaryota; Viridiplantae; Streptophyta; Magnoliopsida; Poales; Poaceae
Description: microRNA MIR1122
Rfam family: MIR1120/MIR1122 microRNA precursor family
Source: RNAcentral
AUGCUACUCCCUCCGUCCGGAAAUACUUGUCCUAGAAAUGCAUGUAUCUAGACUUAUUUUAGUUAUAGAUACAUUCAUUUUAUUCAUUUCUAGGACAAGUAUUUCCGGACUGAGGGAGUAUUAU